UCUCCGUAGGUGAACCUGCGGAAGGAUCAUUAAUGAGUUGUCAUGGGGUUCGAUGCUGGCAGCCAAUUUUUGGAUGCAUGUGCCUGCCCUAACAAUCAUCUUCCAAACACCUGUGCACAUUUUUGAGGGAGUCUUGAGUUGGUUGCCGCUCUUGGGUGAUUUUCUCACAUUCCCUUAAAUCAUUAUACGCUAUUAACAAUGUUGAACGUGCUCUGUGCCGCAAGGCUAUUAAUAUAAUACAACUUUUAACAACGGAUCUCUUGGCUCUC
RNAcentral lists this unclassified non-coding RNA (269 nucleotides) under plant metagenome. Its description in RNAcentral is "partial contains small subunit ribosomal RNA, internal transcribed spacer 1, and 5.8S ribosomal RNA". The record is from RNAcentral.